Molecule: long non-coding RNA, 1251 nt
Organism: Chenopodium quinoa (quinoa)
Lineage: Eukaryota; Viridiplantae; Streptophyta; Magnoliopsida; Caryophyllales; Amaranthaceae
Exons: 4
Source: RefSeq, a predicted model, not a curated record
AAAAUAUUGUGCUAUGUUAUGUCUCUCAUUCUUUUAUUUUUGCUUUCACUGACAUAUAACCCUGCUGCCUGGCCUGUUGGCUGUGCAGGUUGUCAUAUGGAAUAAAAGAGGAGGCUCGUGAUCCUAUUCCCAUCAAGCCAAACAGGCCGAUUACGUCGUCCUUUUUUCGCAUUCAUGGAGGAGUUUAGGAAGCAAUACAAACUGGAGCACCCUAACAAUAAGUCAUUUGGUGAAGUCCCCAAAGCCGCUUCAGAGAAGUGGAGAGCCAUGUCUGAUCUUGAAAAGGCUCCCUUCAUCAAAAUUACAGAGAAGAAAAAGGCUGAAUAUGAAAAAGCGUUGCAAGUAUACUAUAGAAAAAUGGUAAUACGCUUUUAGUAGCUCACUUAUUAUUUAUAAUUGAUGUUAUUACAUUGUCAAACCAGUUUCUUAAUUGAAAGGAUGAAUAUUAGGAGACAUGUAUGAAGUGUUGUAAAAAUGGUGUCUAAAACAAUAGUCAACAAAAUUAAACAAGAACAAAAGCAAAAGAGGAAAUUCGGUGUGGCAUGAAGAAUCACUGUCUUUGAAAACGAAUUCCGGCGCAACCGGGGUGCACCAUUGUAAUCGUCAGAUCGUCUCCUAAGGUUACACACCACUCUCACACUAAGGCACUUUAGAGUGAGAGGUGGAGUCUAUGAAAACUUAUGCCCAAAGAAAGAAUGUGUUUAACUUGUGUUUAUAAUUUCAGUGUACUAAUCCGAAAAAUCAGCCUUUAACAUAUUUAGAAGAAUGAAGGAAGAUGGAAGACCAAGGUGAAGUCAAUGGAGCAAAAAUCAGAAAUAACCAUGGUGAUUUAAUCACCAUAAAACCCUCUUAAAUGGGGGGUUACAAGGAAUAAAACAAGAAAAGAAUCCAAGAAAGCUAUUGGAGUCCAACAGCUGAGAUUGCGGGCGGAGCUUUGCGCGGUCGGGCGAGCACCCAGUCAAAUUCUCGGUUGCUUUAGCGCCCGGUCGGGGAAAGCGCGCCCGGUCCAGCAGAGCUCCCCCGAUCGGGUGACGGAACUCCAGUUUUUACGAUUCCUCUCCCGCCUUGGCGGGCGCCCAGGUCAGACUACUUUGAUUUCCUUCUUUAUUCCAACAUGAAGGAGUCACGAUCUAAACGUAGUGUGGAUGGGGAAACAGUCAGGAUAAUGGAGUAGCCUAACCUCUCUUGGUCAAAUGUUUGAAGAUAAUAAGUUGCAAAUUUUCAAUUGAGAUCAAAGUCAUGUAUUCUCUG